AUACUUACCUGGCAGGGGAGAUACCAUGAUCAUGAAGGUGGUUUUCUCAGGUUGAGGCUUAUCCAUUGCACUCUGGAUGUGCUGACUCCUGUGAUUUCCCCCAAAUGUGGGAAACUCUACCGCAUACUUUGGUGUAGUGGGGGACUGCGUUCACUCUCUCACCUG
Molecule: small nuclear RNA, 165 nt
Filed under: Carlito syrichta (Philippine tarsier)
Lineage: Eukaryota; Metazoa; Chordata; Mammalia; Primates; Tarsiidae
Description: U1 spliceosomal RNA (ENSTSYG00000029571.1)
Rfam family: U1 spliceosomal RNA
About the family: U1 is a small nuclear RNA (snRNA) component of the spliceosome (involved in pre-mRNA splicing). Its 5' end forms complementary base pairs with the 5' splice junction, thus defining the 5' donor site of an intron.
Source: Rfam by way of RNAcentral